This is a transfer RNA of 70 nucleotides. It matches the Rfam family "tRNA". From Rfam's summary of the family: Transfer RNA (tRNA) molecules are approximately 80 nucleotides in length. Their secondary structure includes four short double-helical elements and three loops (D, anti-codon, and T loops).
GCACUAAUAGCUUAAUUAAAGCACUGAUCUUGUAAGUCAGAGAUUGAAGGUUAAACUCCUCCUUACUGCU